UAGUACUGUAGGUGGCAGUAUAUAUUUAAUAAAUCUCCUCAACUAUUGGGCCAUCAGCUGCAGUAGCUAAAGCUGACAUUCUUGAAAAUUCAAUUAAUUUUUCAGUAUCACUGCAAGAGCUCUGAUCAGAGAAAGCAGCUCUGAGAUGUCUCCAGGGCAUGAAUCAGGUACCAUAAAUGCAUAUUGGAUGGUUCCACUCUGCUGACAACAAUGGAUUCCAAGAUGUUUUCAACAUUCUCUCCAUCCAACUGAGUUGGAGGAAAAGAUUUAAGAGGCUGCCAUGGGAUUUCAGUCCUAUUCCAUAUCCAACCCACUAUAACUUAGAAGAAAAUUCACAGUUCUUGCUUAUCUAAUUGUCUGAGGGUAAACCUCGAGACCAAUCCAGAAAUAAAUUGCCAAGCUUCCGUCAAAUAAUUCAAAAGAAGACCCAGGACUCUUGAUGAUAUACUUGAAGUCAUUAAAUAUGAAAGAUGAUAGCAUCUUGGAAGGCAACAGCAGAGGAAAGGAGAAUUUUCACAGGGAGAGGAAAGAGUUGGUACAAGUGAUACUUCUUUAACAAAAUAAUGAUCUCGAUACGUCCUACUUGAACUGUGGUUCGAAGAACAGUAUCAUCAGCAUCACUUAGAGCUGAUGAGAAAUUUAGAAUUUCAAGGCUCCCUCCACCCCAACUUACUGGUGCAAACUCUGUACUGUAACCUGAUCCCCAAGGUGAUUCUAGUGUACAUGAAAGUGUGAGAGUCUUGUUGUUAUGAACAGAUUCUUACAGUACUGCAAUUUAGAAUAUCUUUUAAGAAUGAUAAAGACAACUUGUGUCUCUUGUAUCUGAAAUAAGUAUUAAAGGCAAAAUAUAUAUUGAUAUCAUGGCACUGUUCUUAAGGAAUAAACAUCCAGAUGAAUUACUUUGCAUCUUUUCAUUGGAAAUAAAAAGCCUGGCAGCGGGGGGGAAGAAUCAGAGAGCUCUGAUCAGUGUGUAGAUGUAUCAAAUAUCUAUUUAAUAUGCACCCCAGCAGAGAGCCCAGGCUUUAAAUCAUUGGAAAUAAUCUCUGAAUUUUUAUUCUCAACAUGUUUCACCUUAGGCAAUAUUACAACAAAAUUCUCUGUGGGUUUGUAAACUUAGUGCCACUCUUCUGGAGAAAUGUAAAGGGUGUAUAACUCCUGGUAUAGUCUAACAAGUCAUCAUUAUUAGUGAAUAUAAUUAAGAAGGUUCAUGCAACUGCAUUUAUGGUUCUCCCUAGAAAUGUCUUUGUUCAUACACUGCUGCAACUGAAAACUAUCAUGUAUUCUGGAUGUAAACUGAUUCAAUGAAAACAAAUGGGCCUGGGCUGUCACAUUCCCAAUUACUGUAGUUAAGUGAACUUGGAACAUUUUAAAGUUAGUAACACUUAGAAAUGCAGGAAAUAUAUACUGCUAACUCAAAGUCUCCUAUGUUUUUAAAAAAGAAUGGCAGUUUUUUAAAAGAAAGAAAAAAUC
This is a non-coding RNA of Macaca mulatta (Rhesus monkey), 1470 nucleotides long. The record is from RefSeq and is a predicted model, not a curated record. NCBI's taxonomy places the organism in Eukaryota, Metazoa, Chordata, Mammalia, Primates, Cercopithecidae.